This 433-nucleotide ribosomal RNA is filed under the name uncultured bacterium. Its description in RNAcentral is "partial 16S ribosomal RNA". It matches the Rfam family "Bacterial small subunit ribosomal RNA", at positions 29 to 507 of the family's 1533-position model. The record is from RNAcentral.
AACGAACGCUGGCGGCAGGCUUAACACAUGCAAGUCGAACGCACCUUUCGGGGUUAGUGGCAGACGGGUGAGUAACGCGUGGGAAUCUACCCUUCUCUACGGGAUAGCUCCGGGAAACUGGAAUUAAUACCGUAUACGUCCUGAGGGAGAAAGAUUUAUCGGGGAAGGAUGAGCCCGCGUUGGAUUAGCUAGUUGGUGGGGUAAAGGCAUACCAAGGCGACGAUCCAUAGCUGGUCUAAGAGGAUGAUCAGCCACAUUGGGACUGAGACACGGCCCAAACUCCUACGAGAGGCAGCAGUGGGGAAUAUUGGACAAUGGGCGCAAGCCUGAUCCAGCCAUGCCGCGUGAGUGAUGAAGGCCCUAGGGUUGUAAAGCUCUUUCAGUGGGGACGAUAAUGACGGUACCCACAGAAGAAGCCCCGGCUAACUUCGUG